This 440-nucleotide ribosomal RNA is filed under the name uncultured bacterium. RNAcentral describes it as "partial 16S ribosomal RNA". It matches the Rfam family "Bacterial small subunit ribosomal RNA", at positions 338 to 795 of the family's 1533-position model. The record is from RNAcentral.
CCUACGGGAGGCAGCAGUAGGGAAUAUUGCUCAAUGGGGGAAACCCUGAAGCAGCCACGCCGCGUGGAGGAUGAAGGUUUUCGGAUUGUAAACUCCUUUUGUUAGAGAAGAUAAUGACGGUAUCUAACGAAUAAGCACCGGCUAACUCCGUGCCAGCAGCCGCGGUAAUACGGAGGGUGCAAGCGUUACUCGGAAUCACUGGGCGUAAAGGGCGCGUAGGCGGGAUAGCAAGUCAGAUGUGAAAUCCUAUGGCUUAACCAUAGAACUGCAUUUGAAACUGUUAUUCUAGAGUAUGGGAGAGGUAGGUGGAAUUCUUGGUGUAGGGGUGAAAUCCGUAGAGAUCAAGAGGAAUACUCAUUGCGAAGGCGACCUGCUAGAACAUAACUGACGCUGAUGCGCGAAAGCGUGGGGAGCAAACAGGAUUAGAUACCCCUGUAGUC